CCCGCUGAACUUAAGCAUAUCAAUAAGCGUAGGAGAAGAUACUAUCAAGGAUUCCCUUAGUAACGGCGAGUGUAGCGGGAAGAGCUCAAAUUUAAAAUCUGGCAGUCUUUGGUUGCCCGAAUUGUAAUCUAGAGAAGCGUUUUCCGUGCUGGACUGUGUACAAGUUUCCUGGAUACGGAACAUCAUAGAGGGUGAGAAUCCCGUCCUUGACACAGACCCCCAGUACUUUUGUGAUGCGCUCUCGACGAGUCGAGUUGUUUGGGAUUGCAGCUCAAAAUGGGAGGUAAAUUCCUUCUAAAGCUAAAUAUUGGCGAGAGACCGAUAGCGAACAAGUACCGUGAGGGAAAGAUGAAAAGCACUUUGGAAAGAGAGUUAAACAGUACGUGAAAUUGUUAAAAGGGAAACGCUUGAAGUCAGUCACGUUUGCUUGGACUCAGCCUUCCUUCGGUUUGGUGCAUUACCUUGCAGACGGGCCAGCGUCCAUGUUGUUUGCCGGAGAAGGGGUGAGAGAAUGUGGCUCCUUUGGGAGUGUUAUAGGUCUUGAUAGUAUGCGGGGAAUGAUAUGGAGUGGUACAGCACACUUAGGUGGUGCUUGUGCUGGCACAAAAGCUUUAAACAACCCGUCUUUUAACACGGAAGGGGGAAAUUGUUUUAAACCGCAGGACACUUUUCCCUUAGGGGGGGGGGACAUAGGCGGGG
This 699-nucleotide ribosomal RNA is filed under the name uncultured fungus. RNAcentral's name for it is "eukaryotic LSU rRNA". It matches the Rfam family "Eukaryotic large subunit ribosomal RNA", at positions 24 to 664 of the family's 3401-position model. The record is from RNAcentral. Lineage: Eukaryota; Fungi.